UACGUAGGGGGCAAGCGUUGUCCGGAUUUAUUGGGCGUAAAGAGCGUGUAGGCGGCCAAGCAGGUCAGCUGUGAAAACUCGAGGCUCAACCUCGAGACGUCGGUUGAAACCGCUUGGCUAGAGUCCGGAAGAGGAGAGUGGAAUUCCCGGUGUAGUGGUGAAAUGCGUAGAGAUCGGCAGGAACACCCAGGGGGAAACCAGCCGCCUGGGCAUGCGCUGACGCUGAGGUGCGAGAGCGUGGGGAGCGAACCGG
This 253-nucleotide ribosomal RNA is filed under the name uncultured bacterium. RNAcentral describes it as "partial 16S ribosomal RNA". It matches the Rfam family "Bacterial small subunit ribosomal RNA", at positions 524 to 776 of the family's 1533-position model. The record is from RNAcentral.